GUGAUGUUAUGCUAUUGUUUCAGAAAAAGGGAGAAGGUUUGGAUCCAUUUAAACGUUUAAUCCCGCUGCAAAUGUUUGCACCUGUCCUAAGUCAGGAAUUUGAUGUACAGUAGUUGUUGUUUGUUUAUGUAAUUUAUACGUGUUUCUCGUUUCUCGUUUUUUUUUAAAUUUUAUAUAGAUUAAACCGUUGUUUUCCCCGUUUGAAUGGUUUUACACUAGUAAUUUUGGGGCCCUUUAUAGCUUGUUGUUCGGUGUGAGCCAAGGCUCCAUGUUGAAGGCCGUACAUUGACCUAUAAUGGUUAACUUUUUUUAAAAUUGUUAUUUGGAUGGAGAGUUGUCUCAUUGGCACUCACACCACAUCUUCC
Molecule: long non-coding RNA, 365 nt
Filed under: Mytilus galloprovincialis (Mediterranean mussel)
Lineage: Eukaryota; Metazoa; Mollusca; Bivalvia; Mytilida; Mytilidae
Source: RNAcentral